This 412-nucleotide long non-coding RNA is filed under the name Urocitellus parryii (Arctic ground squirrel). RNAcentral describes it as "lncRNA (ENSUPAG00010001040.1)". Lineage: Eukaryota; Metazoa; Chordata; Mammalia; Rodentia; Sciuridae. The record is from RNAcentral.
AYGGUCUGUGAGGUAGAGCUGCCCAGCUGCGGGCCCUGAGUGGUGCUCACUUAAAAUUCUGGUGUUUUAUUAGGUUAGAAUCAGAUUCUCCAGCAAAGGGUGAGACUGCAAGAUGUGGAAACCACAAGGGGAUAUCUGAGAGAAAGGGUGCACAUCUUAUGCUUAUCAGAUACAGUCCAAGGAAGAUGAGUUCUGGACCUAAAAAGGGUGCCAGAUACAGCAGACUGCACAGUUUUGACCAUGACCCCUGAUUUGGAAGUGGGGUCCUGAAGCUAGGAAGGAACUCCCUCAUGCUGGGGGUUUUCACGUGAUUGGCCUGGAGCCUGACAAGGUUUAUAGACGGAAGCUGAUGUGUGGGAUGCUGUGAACGCGCCUGGUCUUGGCCAGAUUCAUGCAAGUCAAAUAAUUGUUG